UUACGGCCACAUCAUGUUGAGACAUCGGUUCCCGUACGAUCACCGAAGUUAAGCAAAUUCAAGCCUGGUUAGUACCGAUGAGUGACUGAUUGGGAUUAUCAGGUACUGUAAG
Acanthosepion pharaonis is the source of this 112-nucleotide non-coding RNA. Lineage: Eukaryota; Metazoa; Mollusca; Cephalopoda; Sepiida; Sepiidae. The record is from the annotation of a GenBank genome assembly.